GACGAACCGAGCGAACGUUGUUCGGAAUCACUGGGCUUAAAGCGCGCGUAGGCGGCUUUGCAAGUCGGGUGUGAAAUCCCCAGGCUUAACCUGGGAACUGCAUUCGAGACUGCAUUGCUAGAGUAUGGGAGAGGGAAGUGGAAUUUCCGGUGUAGCGGUGAAAUGCGUAGAUAUCGGAAGGAACAUCAGUGGCGAAAGCGACUUCCUGGACCAAUACUGACGCUCAUGUGCGAAAGCGUGGGGAGCAAACAGG
RNAcentral lists this ribosomal RNA (253 nucleotides) under uncultured bacterium. RNAcentral's name for it is "partial 16S ribosomal RNA". It matches the Rfam family "Bacterial small subunit ribosomal RNA", at positions 524 to 776 of the family's 1533-position model. The record is from RNAcentral.